GGCCUACGGGGCGCAGCAGUGGGGAAUCUUCCGCAAUGGGCGCAAGCCUGACGGAGCAAUGCCGCGUGAACGAAGAAGGUCUUCGGAUUGUAAAGUUCUGUCCUUAUCGAAGAGAGGGUAUAGAGUGAAAAAUGAUAUACUAGGACGGUAGAUGAGGAGGAAGCACCGGCUAACUCCGUGCCAGCAGCCGCGGUAAUACGGAGGGUGCGACCGUUAAUCGGAAUUACUGGGCGUAAAGCGCUGGU
This 245-nucleotide ribosomal RNA is filed under the name uncultured bacterium. RNAcentral describes it as "partial 16S ribosomal RNA". It matches the Rfam family "Bacterial small subunit ribosomal RNA", at positions 335 to 572 of the family's 1533-position model. The record is from RNAcentral.